RNAcentral lists this ribosomal RNA (465 nucleotides) under uncultured bacterium. RNAcentral's name for it is "partial 16S ribosomal RNA". It matches the Rfam family "Bacterial small subunit ribosomal RNA", at positions 28 to 507 of the family's 1533-position model. The record is from RNAcentral.
GACGAACGCUGGCGGCGUGCUUAACACAUGCAAGUCGAACGGAAAGGCCCUGCUUGCAGGGUACUCGAGUGGCGAACGGGUGAGUAACACGUGGGUGAUCUGCCCUGCACUUCGGGAUAAGCCUGGGAAACUGGGUCUAAUACCGGAUAGGAGCCAUUUUUAGUGUGAUGGUUGGAAAGUUUUUUCGGUGUAGGAUGAGCUCGCGGCCUAUCAGCUUGUUGGUGGGGUAAUGGCCUACCAAGGCGGCGACGGGUAGCCGGCCUGAGAGGGUGGACGGCCACAUUGGGACUGAGAUACGGCCCAGACUCCUACGGGAGGCAGCAGUGGGGAAUAUUGCACAAUGGGCGCAAGCCUGAUGCAGCGACGCCGCGUGGGGGAUGACGGCCUUCGGGUUGUAAACUCCUUUCGCUAGGGACGAAGCUUUUUGUGACGGUCCCUAGAUAAGAAGCACCGGCUAACUACGUG